CCCUUAGAGUUUGAUCCUGGCUCAGGAUGAACGCUGGCGGCGUGCCUAACACAUGCAAGUCGAACGAGGUGUUUUAAAUGAAGUUUUCGGAUGGAUUUUAAAACACCGAGUGGCGGACGGGUGAGUAACGCGUGGGUAACCUGCCUCAUACAGGGGGAUAACGAUUGGAAACGAUUGCUAAUACCGCAUAAGCGCACAGUACCACAUGGUACAGUGUGAAAAACUCCGGUGGUAUGAGAUGGACCCGCGUCUGAUUAGCUAGUUGGCGAGGUAACGGCCCACCAAGGCAACGAUCAGUAGCCGACCUGAGAGGGUGACCGGCCACAUUGGGACUGAGACACGGCCCAGACUCCUACGGGAGGCAGCAGUGGG
RNAcentral lists this ribosomal RNA (372 nucleotides) under uncultured bacterium. RNAcentral describes it as "bacterial SSU rRNA". It matches the Rfam family "Bacterial small subunit ribosomal RNA", at positions 1 to 358 of the family's 1533-position model. The record is from RNAcentral.